UACGUAGGGGCCGAGCGUUGUCCGGAGUUAUUGGGCGUAAAGCGCGCGCAGGCGGCUUGGCGCGCCCGACGUGAAAGCCCCCGGCUUAACCGGGGAGAGUCGUCGGGGACGGCCGGGCUUGAGGGCGGGAGAGGGUGGUGGAAUUCCCGGUGUAGUGGUGAAAUGCGUAGAGAUCGGGAGGAACACCUGUGGCGAAGGCGGCCACCUGGGCCGACCCUGACGCUGAGGCGCGAAAGCGUGGGGAGCGAACAGG
RNAcentral lists this ribosomal RNA (253 nucleotides) under uncultured bacterium. RNAcentral describes it as "partial 16S ribosomal RNA". It matches the Rfam family "Bacterial small subunit ribosomal RNA", at positions 524 to 776 of the family's 1533-position model. The record is from RNAcentral.